This 441-nucleotide ribosomal RNA is filed under the name uncultured bacterium. RNAcentral's name for it is "bacterial SSU rRNA". It matches the Rfam family "Bacterial small subunit ribosomal RNA", at positions 355 to 787 of the family's 1533-position model. The record is from RNAcentral.
UAGGGAAUCUUCCGCAAUGGACGAAAGUCUGACGGAGCAACGCCGCGUGAGUGAAGAAGGUUUUCGGAUCGUAAAACUCUGUUGUAAGGGAAGAACAAGUACGUUAGUAACUGAACGUACCUUGACGGUACCUUACCAGAAAGCCACGGCUAACUACGUGCCAGCAGCCGCGGUAAUACGUAGGUGGCAAGCGUUAUCCGGAAUUAUUGGGCGUAAAGCGCGCGUAGGCGGUUUCUUAAGUCUGAUGUGAAAGCCCACGGCUCAACCGUGGAGGGUCAUUGGAAACUGGGAAACUUGAGUGCAGAAGAGGAGAGUGGAAUUCCAUGUGUAGCGGUGAAAUGCGCAGAGAUAUGGAGGAACACCAGUGGCGAAGGCGGCUCUCUGGUCUGUAACUGACGCUGAUGUGCGAAAGCGUGGGGUAGCAAACAGGAUUAGAUACCC